UCGUGAAGGCUAACAGGAGAAGAGAGAGAGUACAGCUUUGGCCGGCCAGUUGGUUGGAUCGUAGUAACACAGACUUGCGAUACUCUCCUACUACCUUUUCGCCAAGGCUGUACCCUCUCUCUUCUUCUCUUCGCUUUACGA
RNAcentral lists this microRNA precursor (141 nucleotides) under Leersia perrieri. RNAcentral's name for it is "pre miRNA MIR529". It matches the Rfam family "MIR529 microRNA precursor family". The record is from Rfam by way of RNAcentral. Lineage: Eukaryota; Viridiplantae; Streptophyta; Magnoliopsida; Poales; Poaceae.